This 163-nucleotide ribosomal RNA is filed under the name Deschampsia cespitosa (tufted hair grass). Its description in RNAcentral is "5.8S ribosomal RNA". It matches the Rfam family "5.8S ribosomal RNA". Rfam says of the family: 5.8S ribosomal RNA (5.8S rRNA) is a component of the large subunit of the eukaryotic ribosome. It is transcribed by RNA polymerase I as part of the 45S precursor that also contains 18S and 28S rRNA. The record is from RNAcentral. RNAcentral also lists the same sequence under 1 other name. Lineage: Eukaryota; Viridiplantae; Streptophyta; Magnoliopsida; Poales; Poaceae.
CACACGACUCUCGGCAACGGAUAUCUCGGCUCUCGCAUCGAUGAAGAACGUAGCGAAAUGCGAUACCUGGUGUGAAUUGCAGAAUCCCGCGAACCAUCGAGUCUUUGAACGCAAGUUGCGCCCGAGGCCAUUNGGCCGAGGGCACGCCUGCCUGGGCGUCACG